GGGCCCGCACAAGCGGUGGAGCAUGUGGUUUAAUUCGAUGAUACGCGAGGAACCUUACCAGGGCUUAAAUGCAGUCUGACAGGAGUGGAAACACUCCCUUCUUCGGACAGAUUGCAAGGUGCUGCAUGGUUGUCGUCAGCUCGUGCCGUGAGGUGUCAGGUUAAGUCCUAUAACGAGCGCAACCCCUUUCGUUAGUUGCCAGCGAGUCAUGUCGGGAACUCUAGCGAGACUGCGGUGCAAAACGUGAGGAAGGUGGGGAUGACGUCAAAUCAUCACGGCCCUUACGUCCUGGGGCCACACACGUGCUACAAUGGUAGGGACAGAGGGCAGCUACCCCGCGAGGGGAUGC
RNAcentral lists this ribosomal RNA (349 nucleotides) under uncultured bacterium. RNAcentral's name for it is "bacterial SSU rRNA". It matches the Rfam family "Bacterial small subunit ribosomal RNA", at positions 917 to 1268 of the family's 1533-position model. The record is from RNAcentral.